Molecule: ribosomal RNA, 250 nt
Filed under: uncultured bacterium
Lineage: Bacteria
Description: partial 16S ribosomal RNA
Rfam family: Bacterial small subunit ribosomal RNA
Source: RNAcentral
GACAGAGGGUGCGAGCGUUGUUCGGAUUUACUGGGCGUAAAGGGCGCGUAGGCGGUUUUGUAAGUCUUGGGUGAAAUACUGGAGCUCAACUCCAGUGCUGCUCUAGAUACUGCAAGGCUUGAGAGUGGGAGAGGUAGAUGGAAUUCCUAGUGGAGAGGUAAAAUUCGUAGAUAUUAGGAGGAACGCCAGAGGCGAAAGCGGUCUACUGGAACAUUUCUGACGCUGAGGCGCGAAAGCGUGGGGAUCAAAC